RNAcentral lists this long non-coding RNA (233 nucleotides) under Elaeis guineensis (African oil palm). RNAcentral describes it as "long non-coding RNA (EGUI_LNC015309)". Lineage: Eukaryota; Viridiplantae; Streptophyta; Magnoliopsida; Arecales; Arecaceae. The record is from RNAcentral.
UAAGAGGAGAUUGCAUCCUACUUGCUCUAAUUGACUGAUGAUUCAGAGAGUCUUUGAUCAAAGUAAAAUAAAAAUUAGAAAGAGUUUCUAAUAUUUUAUUAAUUGAAUCAUCAUUAAAGAUUAAGAGAAAUAUGAAUAUGAUAUUGGAUUUGACAUCAUUUCAUAUUCAGAGUCAUAUUCGGGAUGCAGGUUGAUCGUAGAAUCAAAUUGCACGGUAACUUUCCAUUGAAGGA